CUUCGACGAGUCGAGUUGUUUGGGAAUGCAGCUCAAAAUGGGUGGUAUAUUUCAUCUAAAGCUAAAUACCGGCCAGAGACCGAUAGCGCACAAGUAGAGUGAUCGAAAGAUGAAAAGCACUUUGGAAAGAGAGUCAAACAGUACGUGAAAUUGUUGAAAGGGAAGCGCUCGCAACCAGACCUGCCCGCGGCCGAUCAACCGUCCUUCUGGGCGGUGCACUCGGCCGCGAUCAGGCCAGCAUCGGUUCGGGCGGCCGGAUAAAGGCCCUGGGAACGUAGCUCCUCUCGGGGAGUGUUAUAGCCCUCGGUGCAAUGCGGCCCGCCUGGACCGAGGACCGCGCUUCGGCUAGGAUGCUGGCGUAAUGGUUGUGAGCGGCCCGUCUUGAAACACGGACCAAGGAGUCUAACAUCUAUGCGAGUGUUUGGGUGUCAAACCCAUGCGCGUAAUGAAAGUGAACGGAGGUGGGAACCCAUUCGGGCGCACCAUCGACCGAUCCAGAUGUCUUCGGAUGGAUUUGAGUACGAGCAUAGCUGUUGGGACCCGAAAGAUGGUGAACUAUGCCUGAAUAGGGUGAAGCCAGAGGAAACUCUGGUGGAGGCUCGCAGCGGUUCUGACGUGCAAAUCGAUCGUCAAAUUUGGGUAUAGGGGCGAAAG
Molecule: ribosomal RNA, 654 nt
Filed under: Caloplaca neotaurica
Lineage: Eukaryota; Fungi; Ascomycota; Lecanoromycetes; Teloschistales; Teloschistaceae
Description: partial large subunit ribosomal RNA
Rfam family: Eukaryotic large subunit ribosomal RNA
Source: RNAcentral